This 499-nucleotide ribosomal RNA is filed under the name uncultured bacterium. Its description in RNAcentral is "partial 16S ribosomal RNA". It matches the Rfam family "Bacterial small subunit ribosomal RNA", at positions 28 to 507 of the family's 1533-position model. The record is from RNAcentral.
GACGAACGCUGGCGGCGUGCCUAAUACAUGCAAGUCGAGCGAAGUUUUUCUGGUGCUUGCCCUAGAAAAACUUAGCGGCGAACGGGUGAGUAACACGUAAAGAACCUGCCUCAUAGACUGGGACCACUAUUGGAAACGAUAGCUAAUACCGGAUAACAGUAUUUCUCGCAUGUGAGAUAUUUAAAAGUUGGUUAUGCUAACACUAUGAGAUGGCUUUGCGGUGCAUUAGCUAGUUGGUGGGGUAAAGGCCCACCAAGGCGACGAUGCAUAGCCGACCUGAGAGGGUGAUCGGCCACACUGGAACUGAGACACGGCCCAGACUCCUACGGGAGGCAGCAGUAGGGAAUCUUCCGCAAUGGGCGAAAGCCUGACGGAGCAACGCCGCGUGAGUGAAGAAGGAUUUCGGUUCGUAAAGCUCUGUUGUUAGGGAAGAAUGGAUGUGUAGUAACUAUACAUGUAAGAGACGGUACCUAACCAGAAAGCCACGGCUAACUACGUG